AGAUUGGUAGCAAAAAAAACAAGGCUUGGAUGGAAUCCUGUUAGAAACACAAUAGAUGCAUCGGAUGCAUGGUGGAAAAAAAAGUUGCAUGUGCAAAUAAUAGCAUAUUGAUGUUUGUAAGAUUUUAUAUUAUGAUUUUAAAAUAGAUAUUGAUAAUUAUAUAUCCUUAACUUGCAGAAAAUUUUUGAUGCAGCUAAGUUUCGAGAAUGUGGUUUACAACAUACCAUGAAGUUGGAUAGGUUAUUUAGAGAUACUAGUACCAC
This 263-nucleotide long non-coding RNA is filed under the name Elaeis guineensis (African oil palm). RNAcentral's name for it is "long non-coding RNA (EGUI_LNC013165)". Lineage: Eukaryota; Viridiplantae; Streptophyta; Magnoliopsida; Arecales; Arecaceae. The record is from RNAcentral.